RNAcentral lists this unclassified non-coding RNA (334 nucleotides) under Hevea brasiliensis (rubber tree). The record is from RNAcentral. Lineage: Eukaryota; Viridiplantae; Streptophyta; Magnoliopsida; Malpighiales; Euphorbiaceae.
AGGAAAAUAAACGAUCUCAACCCAAUAAAUGAAGAAGGAAUAAUGUGAUACUUUCAUGUUAAGUGUGAAUCCAAAAUCAAUUUAAAACAAUUAUUUUCAAUAAUUUAUGAGAGAUCCCAAAUAAUUUUCAAAGUAAUUUUUGCAGUCACAAAGUGGCAACACAAUUCAUAAAUAACAAAGCGAUUUCAUAAAGCAUAGCAAUUUAAAUUUUCAAUUGGAAAACAAUUACAUAAAUUUAUUAUGCAUAAACCUGACGUGAGUCGCCUCUAAGCCUUGACUUAGUCCUUUGUCCCUUUCGGGUCUUUUUCAGCUUCAACAUUAAUUGCAGAUCCAU